This 213-nucleotide long non-coding RNA is filed under the name Lathyrus oleraceus (garden pea). Its description in RNAcentral is "Pisum sativum (pea) long non-coding RNA (PSAT_LNC015177)". The record is from RNAcentral. Lineage: Eukaryota; Viridiplantae; Streptophyta; Magnoliopsida; Fabales; Fabaceae.
GAAAUAAAAACUCCGUUGAGGAAGCUAAAACAGGCAACUCUCUGGGGAUAAGGCUCAUACAAACCUCAGAUAAAAUAGACUAUGCUUUGGGGAAUAACUGUUACUCUGUCGGGGAUGACCCACAAUAUUCACAAGUAAAAUCAAUUUAGCUGGGGAUGCAGGUAUCGACCUGCUACUGAAACCUGUCCAAUCCACUGGUAGGAUGAACUCUGC